GUGCUCGCUUCAGCAGCACAUAUACUAAAAUUGGAACAAUACAGAGAAGCUUAGCAUGGCCCCUGCGCAAGGAUGACACGCAAAUUCGUGAAGUGUUCCAUAUUUUU
This 107-nucleotide small nuclear RNA is filed under the name Meriones unguiculatus (Mongolian gerbil). The record is from RNAcentral. Lineage: Eukaryota; Metazoa; Chordata; Mammalia; Rodentia; Muridae.